This 69-nucleotide transfer RNA is filed under the name Coralliophila richardi. RNAcentral's name for it is "tRNA-Lys". Lineage: Eukaryota; Metazoa; Mollusca; Gastropoda; Neogastropoda; Muricidae. The record is from RNAcentral.
UUCAGGUGACUGAGAUAUAAGUAUUGAUUUUUGUUAUAGAAAGCGUGAUUAUUUGCCUUUGAGACCUAG